This 473-nucleotide long non-coding RNA is filed under the name Capra hircus (goat). RNAcentral's name for it is "lncRNA (ENSCHIG00000002092.1)". The record is from RNAcentral. Lineage: Eukaryota; Metazoa; Chordata; Mammalia; Artiodactyla; Bovidae.
CCCCCACCCCCACCCACCCCUCCCCCCCCGCCCCUCGCCAAAAGGACAAAGUUUGAGGAGCUGCUGGGUGAUAAUGACUCCUACUGACCGGGCAAGAUUCCCUCAUUGUCCCACACCUCUCUGAUCUUGUGUGGCACACUAUGGAUAUUAUAAUAUUACUCCACUGAGCACAGACAAUAUGCCGGACACCACACCAAGCCUCAAGAUCAGCACAAUACACAGACUCACUCCAUGAGGCAGAAACUACUAAUAUUCUCUUUAAAGAGAUGAAGAUAUAGAAUACAGAAAAAUUGAAUAAAAUACUUAAGGUCUCCAUGCAUUAAAUGUUGAGCUGAAUAUUCAAAUCCAGCUUAUUGAUUAAGGCUAAUUCUGCUUUUGAAUUAUCUUCCCUAUGGAAAUAAACCUCUUUUCCGGAAGGUCUAAGUCUUGACUGAUCUUUAUAUUCCCCGCUGAGCCUGUUGUGUUACCUCUAG